CAAAGCUGUCCUGGAGAAGAGCGUGUCAGCCAGGAAGCGGGGCCGACUGUUGCCACAUCAGUUGCCUACACAACAGCUACAGUACACCUUCUUCAAAAGCCUGUGGGGCAGCAGGUGCCCGGCUGAAGACCACUUAUCCCAGAGAGAUGGCCAACCACCACGUCCUCGUGAAUCACCUUUGCAAUCUGCUUCUGUAAACGCCACGUUGUUAGAACGUCUUAAAAUAUUGAUAUCAAAGAUAUCUAAUGGCUUAUAAAAGUUAUCCUUAUACAAUUUCAAUGAAAAUAUGCAAAAUACAAA
RNAcentral lists this long non-coding RNA (300 nucleotides) under Homo sapiens (human). RNAcentral's name for it is "HSALNT0115697". Lineage: Eukaryota; Metazoa; Chordata; Mammalia; Primates; Hominidae. The record is from RNAcentral.